Molecule: small RNA, 172 nt
Filed under: Micromonospora coxensis
Lineage: Bacteria; Bacillati; Actinomycetota; Actinomycetes; Micromonosporales; Micromonosporaceae
Description: c-di-AMP sequence
Rfam family: c-di-AMP riboswitch aptamer (ydaO/yuaA leader)
About the family: This family represents a conserved RNA structure found upstream of the ydaO and yuaA genes in Bacillus subtilis and related genes in other bacteria. The ydaO/yuaA element is thought to act as a genetic "off" switch for the ydaO and yuaA genes in its native state.
Source: RNAcentral
GGGUCGGUAACGCCUAAUCCAUGCCGCCGGCCACGGACCUUGUCACCUGGGCAUGGAGCGGGGGACCCACACGUUCCUCGGUGCACGUCACCUCGGGGUGAAGCCGCCACGGCGGCCGGGCUCCUCGGCCCGAACCCGACAGCUCACCUCGUCGGCGUGGAGGAUCACACAU